GAUGAAGAACGUAGCGAAAUGCGAUACUUGGUGUGAAUUGCAGAAUCCCGUGAACCAUCGAGUCUUUGAACGCAAGUUGCGCCCGAAGCCACUAGGCCGAGGGCACGCCUGCCUGGGCGUCACACGCCGUUGCCCCCCCAUCUACUCCUUCGGGAUUGCGGGGGGGCGGAUGAUGGCCUCCCGUGCGCCUAGCCGCGCGGUUGGCAUAAAUACCAAGUCCUCGGCGACGCACGCCACGACAAUCGGUGGUUGCGAAACCUCGGUUGCCCGUCGUGUGCGUUCGUCGCGCAUCGAGGGCUCGAAAAAAUGCUCGGCUCCGGCUGGGCUUUCAACGCAACCCCAGGUCAGGCGGGGUUACCCGCUGAAUUUAAGCAUAUCAAUAAGCGGAGGA
RNAcentral lists this unclassified non-coding RNA (391 nucleotides) under soil metagenome. RNAcentral describes it as "partial contains 5.8S ribosomal RNA, internal transcribed spacer 2, and large subunit ribosomal RNA". The stretch from base 1 to 122 matches the Rfam family "5.8S ribosomal RNA", at positions 35 to 154 of the family's 154-position model. The record is from RNAcentral.